This 497-nucleotide long non-coding RNA is filed under the name Capsicum annuum. RNAcentral's name for it is "long non-coding RNA (CANN_LNC001734)". The record is from RNAcentral. Lineage: Eukaryota; Viridiplantae; Streptophyta; Magnoliopsida; Solanales; Solanaceae.
CUGCAUGACCUAAAUUUGAAGUUCAUUACUUAUGUAAUGUGAUUCUAAAUACCGAAAGAACUGGAAAUCCUCAUUUUGGGAACUAGGAGGGUACAUAAUUCUCUAUUACAUGCAUGAUCAUGAAAUAUGAUCAUGGAACUGAAACAUUAGGCAUGAGCAGGUCUUGGGAUAACUGGAAAUGCUAAAAUAACAAUGAGUUGGGCAUCAUCCUGUCUUACGAGUUUUCUACACUACACUGGCAUUUCAAUAAGAAUUUAGAAGUCUGACUUGGUUACUCCUUCUAUCAUCUCCCCAUUAGACUUAAUCCAUCACUCUCAGUCUAUGAACCACUAUAUAAACUUUAAUCUAAACCUCAAUCACUAUAUUCUCGUGUCUGGGAUAAAAUUACUACACAAAAAACAAAGCUUACUCUGAAGGACUGUAUCUUCACAUAUAACACCCAAUGCUAACACCUCCUUGUAAGAUUCAACUCUUAGAUUUCUAUAGCCUCAUAAGGC